CCUACGGGUGGCAGCAGUGAGGAAUAUUGGUCAAUGGCCGAGAGGCUGAACCAGCCAAGUCGCGUGAGGGAAGACGGCCCUACGGGUUGUAAACCUCUUUUGUCGGGGAGCAAAGCGAGUCACGUGUGACUCAUUGAGAGUACCCGAAGAAAAAGCAUCGGCUAACUCCGUGCCAGCAGCCGCGGUAAUACGGAGGAUGCAAGCGUUAUCCGGAAUUACUGGGUGUAAAGGGAGCGUAGACGGUUAAGUAAGUCUGGAGUGAAAGGCCGGGGCCCAACCCCGGGACUGCUCUGGAAACUAUUGAACUUGAGUGCAGGAGAGGUAAGCGGAAUUCCUAGUGUAGCGGUGAAAUGCAUAGAUAUCACGCAGAACUCCGAUUGCGAAGGCAGCAUACCGGCGCUCAACUGACGCUGAGGCACGAAAGCGUGGGGAUCGAACAGGAUUAGAUACCCGAGUAGUC
Molecule: ribosomal RNA, 460 nt
Filed under: uncultured bacterium
Lineage: Bacteria
Description: partial 16S ribosomal RNA
Rfam family: Bacterial small subunit ribosomal RNA
Source: RNAcentral